UGCGAGUCAAUGGGCGCACUAAACCCAAAGGCGAAAUGAAAGUGACACAAUACUUGAAAGAGUGUAAUGCUCUUUGGGCUGAUCCUCGACCGGCUGUCUUCAGAUUGGUUCAGACUGGGAGAAGUGGGUGGGUGAGACCCUUUCCCUACYUAACCUUCCGUCUGGCCUUUUUGUUGUGCGAAGGUCUUUUUUGCUCCUUCGGGAGGGGGCGCAAGCCCGGGACUUGCCAUAUGACGCGCUGCAUUUCAUGUCUGCAUAAAAGUGCUGCGGCAGCUGCUYUACUACUACUGUGCAUUUUUAAUGUUCUAGUUGGUAUAGUAGUUUGUUUGUAGUAUUUGCAGUAAUUUGUAUGCGGUUGUAGUCGGCAAGUACCUUGAGCAUACAUGUUGGGACCCGAAAGAUGGUGAACUAUGCCUGGCCAGGAUGAAGCCAGAGGAAACUCUGGUGGAGGUCCGUAGCGAUUCUGACGUGCAAAUCGAUCGUCGGAGCUGGGUAUAGGGGYGAAAGACUAAUCGAACCAUCWAGUAGCUGGUUCCCUCCGAAGUUUCCCUCAGGAUAGCUGGAGCUCAUUGAAUGAAUUUCAUCCGGUAAAGCGAAUGAUUAGAGGUCUUGGGGAUGAAACGUUCUCAACCUAUUCYCAAACUUUAAAUGGGUGAGAUGCCAAGCUUGCUUAAAAAGUGAAGCUUUGGCGAUUAAUCAGAGAGUAUCUAGUGGGCCACUUUU
This 723-nucleotide ribosomal RNA is filed under the name Leiogalathea priam. Its description in RNAcentral is "partial 28S large subunit ribosomal RNA". The record is from RNAcentral. Lineage: Eukaryota; Metazoa; Arthropoda; Malacostraca; Decapoda; Munidopsidae.